This 253-nucleotide ribosomal RNA is filed under the name uncultured bacterium. RNAcentral describes it as "partial 16S ribosomal RNA". It matches the Rfam family "Bacterial small subunit ribosomal RNA", at positions 524 to 776 of the family's 1533-position model. The record is from RNAcentral.
UACGAAGGGAGCUAGCGUUGUUCGGAAUUACUGGGCGUAAAGGGCGCGUAGGCGGGUUUCCAAGUCGGGGGUGAAAUUCCAGGGCUCAACCCUGGGACGGCCUUCGAUACUGGGAGCCUGGAGAUCGGGAGAGGUGAGUGGAAUUCCGAGUGUAGAGGUGAAAUUCGUAGAUAUUCGGAGGAACACCAGAAGCGAAGGCGGCUCACUGGCCCGAGACUAACGCUGAGGCGCGAAAGCGUGGGGAGCAAACAGG